This is a long non-coding RNA of Ictalurus punctatus (channel catfish), 471 nucleotides long. Lineage: Eukaryota; Metazoa; Chordata; Actinopteri; Siluriformes; Ictaluridae. The record is from Ensembl.
GCUAUCUGAAAAAAAAAAAAAAUCUAUAUAUAAUAUAAAGUAUGAAAAAUUUUGGAAGACAUAUUUACCCUAUGUAUGGAGACUUUUGGGAUACCCUGUAGUUUUAACCAUAUUGCUAUCUCUCCUGUUCAUAAGCUGAAGACACCAAGCAGGCCAAGAAUCAGCCGAGCAGCCAGUAAUCGAUUACUUACGGACACCCUGAAGUGAAGCAAUAGAAUAUGGCGUAACAUGAGUGAUGUCUCUGCAGAUUCUGCUCGGAGGAAGUGGUUGGAGUUGGGUGUAGAAUUCUACAUUAUGCUUAUGUCAGUUCCUGCUCAACUCUUCCCACAGAAACUGAAGUGAUUUCCUAUCAGCUCACACUUUGGGCCUUUUUAAGUAACUCUAAACAAAUAGUAGUAAGAGUAGUUUUAAUGGGGCUACUCAACAUGUUUAAGGACACAAUUCUCUGUGGUUAAAUCACAAAUGGUGCCA